AACGCACCUUGCGCCCCUUGGUCAUUCCGAUGGGCAUGCCUGUUUGAGUAUCAUGAACACCUCAACUCUCAUGGUUUUCCAUGACGAGCUUGGACUGUGGAGGAUUUGUUGGCCUGUGGUCAGCUCCUCUCAAAUGAAUCAGCUUACCAGUGUUUGGUGGCAUCACGAGUGUGAUAACUAUCUGCGCUCGCUGCUGUCUCCAAGCAACCUCCAUCCCUGGAGGUUCGCUGGAGCUCACAAACGUCUCUCCUUGGCGAAGACAGCAUUUUUUGACGUUCGAUCUCAAAUCAGGUAGGACUACCCGCUGAACUUAA
This 314-nucleotide unclassified non-coding RNA is filed under the name uncultured Thelephorales. Its description in RNAcentral is "sequence contains 5.8S rRNA gene, ITS2, 28S rRNA gene". The record is from RNAcentral. Lineage: Eukaryota; Fungi; Basidiomycota; Agaricomycetes; Thelephorales.